UUUCCGUAGGUGAACCUGCGGAAGGAUCAUUACCGAGUGAGGGCCCUCUGGGUCCAACUUCCCACUCGUGUUUAUCGUACCUUGUUGCUUCGGCGGGCCCGCCUCACGGCCGCCGGGGGGCACCCGCCACCGGGCGGCCGCCCGCCGACGAAACCAUUGAACGCUGUCUGAAGAUUGCAGUCUGAGCAUCUUAGCUAAAUCAGUUAAAACUUUCAACAACGGAUCUCUUGGUUCCG
RNAcentral lists this unclassified non-coding RNA (236 nucleotides) under plant metagenome. RNAcentral describes it as "partial contains small subunit ribosomal RNA, internal transcribed spacer 1, and 5.8S ribosomal RNA". The record is from RNAcentral.